Molecule: ribosomal RNA, 345 nt
Filed under: Triticum aestivum (bread wheat)
Lineage: Eukaryota; Viridiplantae; Streptophyta; Magnoliopsida; Poales; Poaceae
Description: partial small subunit ribosomal RNA
Source: RNAcentral
AUGUCAAUUAGUCAGGUGAAAUCACACCCAAAAUUUGUGAAAAUUUCCCUCCACGUGCGUUAUUUAAUUUCCGUGCCAAAAACUAUACACCCUAUAUUUAGGAACGGAGGGAGUAUUGUUUACAAGCUUCUUAAGUUGGUACUGAUUCUGCCGGUAGCUACUGCUAGUGUUGAAAGGGUAUUCUCUUCAAUGAGCUAUGUGAAGAAUAAGGUAAGGAACAAAAUGGGUGAUGAUUAUUUGAACAAUUGUUUGGUUACAUUCGUUGAGAGAGAAUUUUUCAAUCAAGUGAAGGAUGAAGAUGUCAUCAAUCUGUUCCAAAAAGGCGACCGCAGAGUUAUAUUGUAA